This 1047-nucleotide long non-coding RNA is filed under the name Parus major (Great Tit). Its description in RNAcentral is "lncRNA (ENSPMJG00000002431.1)". Lineage: Eukaryota; Metazoa; Chordata; Aves; Passeriformes; Paridae. The record is from RNAcentral.
AUAGUUUGGGAUAAUUUAAUUAGGGAUGGGUGGAUUUGGGAUAAUUCGGGAUCAUUUGGAUUGAUUAGGGAUGGAUGGAAUUGGGAUAAUUUGGGAUAGUUUGGGAUAAUUUAAUUAGGGAUGGGUGGAUUUGGGAUAAUUCGGGAUCAGAGUGACUGACAAGGGACGGACGGAACCGGGACCGGUCUGGAAUGGAACCGGGACCAGAACCGGGACCGGUCUGGAAUGGAACCGGGACCAGAACCGGGAAUGGAACCGGGACCAGAACCGGGACCAGAACCGGGACCAGAACCGGGACCGGAACCGGGAACGGAACCGGGACCGGAACCGGGACCAGAACCGGGAACGGAACCGGGACCAGAACCGGGACCGGUCUGGAAUGGAACCGGGACCAGAACCGGGACCAGAACCGGGACCGGAACCGGGACUGGUCUGGAACAGAACCGGGUAUGGAACCGGGAAUGGAACCGGGACCGGUCUGGAAUGGAACCGGGACCAGAACUGGGAACAGAACCGGGACCAGAACCGGGACCGGAACCGGGACCAGAACCGGGAAUGGAACCGGGACCAGAACCGGGACCAGAACCGGGAACAGAACCGGGACCAGAACCGGGACCACUCCAGACCAGAACCGGGACCAGAACCGGGACCACUCCAGACCAGAACCGGGACCAGAACCGGGACCAGAACCGGAAUGGAACCGGGACCAGAACCGGGACCGGAACCGGGAAUGGAACCGGGAACGGAACCGGGACCGGUCCAGACCAGAACCGGGACCGGUCCAGACCAGAACCGGGACCAGAACCGGGACCCGGGGAAUGAGCCGAGCUCGGCCAGGACGGGCUGGGAGAAGCCGCUUUUAUUUAUUGUUUUAUUUAUGGAUUUCAGAGAUAUUUUUGAUACUUUUGUAGCGGUUUUUAUAAAGUUUUGUGUAUUUAUGGCGUCCCCCCGGCCCGGAAGCCGCCGGUCCCGGGGCGGGGCCGGUAAUUUAUUGACCGCCGGGAUAAUUUAUUGCGGAAAGUCCCAAUAAAGCGGAAUUUGGGCACA